GGAUCCGUGCCCGAGCAUUAAGGGGCUACUUUGAUAGAGUACAAAACAGGGGUUUAAAUCCCCUCGGCUCCC
Molecule: transfer RNA, 72 nt
Filed under: Bipes tridactylus
Lineage: Eukaryota; Metazoa; Chordata; Lepidosauria; Squamata; Bipedidae
Description: tRNA-Ile
Rfam family: tRNA
About the family: Transfer RNA (tRNA) molecules are approximately 80 nucleotides in length. Their secondary structure includes four short double-helical elements and three loops (D, anti-codon, and T loops).
Source: RNAcentral